GGAGUAUGAGGGCAGUCUGGCUGCAACGUGUCACGCCCUUGAUCGGCAGGGUUGCUUCCACUGAUCUGGCUGGCCGGGUGGCCAUCCAUGUGAGUCCUCCCUCAACCAUCCAUGGGAGUCUUCCGGAAGCUGUGUGCUCGGUAGACGAGGACGACAACCCUGGACAGAGUAGGACCGUUCCUCCAUCAAGGGUUUAUGAUUAGCUGCGCUACCCUGUUAGAAUCUCCAAACAAGCUCGCAAGGUCCAUAAGUAAUCAGUGUUUACCUACAUGUAGAAAAUGCUCCCCGAUGUUUACCAU
Molecule: small nuclear RNA, 299 nt
Filed under: Octodon degus (degu)
Lineage: Eukaryota; Metazoa; Chordata; Mammalia; Rodentia; Octodontidae
Description: 7SK RNA (ENSODEG00000023417.1)
Rfam family: 7SK RNA
About the family: 7SK was discovered as an abundant small nuclear RNA in the mid-70s but a possible function has only recently been suggested. Two independent studies have found that 7SK RNA binds the CDK9/cyclin T complex (known as elongation factor P-TEFb).
Source: RNAcentral